This is a long non-coding RNA of Vombatus ursinus (common wombat), 860 nucleotides long. RefSeq lists it as uncharacterized. The record is from RefSeq and is a predicted model, not a curated record. NCBI's taxonomy places the organism in Eukaryota, Metazoa, Chordata, Mammalia, Diprotodontia, Vombatidae. The transcript is spliced from 3 exons.
CCUGCGCGCAAACGCGGUUCCAGUCGCGGGGGGGGGGCCCUUAGGGAAGCAGCUGGCCUGCCCGGCGCUCGGGUGGGCUUCCCUUUUCCAUGUGCUCCAGGUCCCACCGCGUGGAAGGCUAUCUGGGGGCAGAAACCCAGCCUUUAAGUUGUGUCGUAUCCCCCCGAGCCAGAGGAGGGGAACUUGUUCUUCCUCACACAGCGCUCCGAGGUUUCAUUUAAAUCCGAGUCACCUGACCACUGGGUCACCCCCCCCCCCCCCGGGGAGCCCAGCCAAUCAUCAGUCUGCCCUUGGACUCCCUCAGGUGGUGACGGGGCCGCAGGUAGACUUGGGGGGCCCCGGGGAGGGGUCAGCCACGGGACGCUGCUGCUUCUGGACGAAACAGGGAAAAUAGUGGAGGAACCCUGGAUGAGGUCAUCUCUCGAGAGCCCUUCCAACUCUAAACAUCUCUGGUGUGUACAGUUACAAGUGUGUGUACAGACGUAUACACUGAGAAAAUCUCCACACCUGCCGGAUCAUUUUUACUGUUGUGUGACCUUACGACGUUGAAGGCAUUUUCACUAGCUUUUCCCCUCCUGGCUUCCUGACUUUCUUCAAGUUCCAGCUAAAAUCCCAGAUUCUACAAGAAGCAUAAAUGGUUCAAGUGGAUCAAGCACCAGACCUGGAGUCAAGAGGACCUGAAUUCAAAUCCAGCCUCAGAUAUUUCCUAGCUGGUUAGCUCCAGGGUAGGAGCAUAACAGACCUAAGCAAGAACAUGACUCCUUUGUGAUUGACCUGGAGAUUGGACUGAUCCUGUGUGAGCCUAGAGGCUUUGGGCCCAGGACCUGCCUGAGUUAGCAGUGAUCGCUUCAUUGGCAGAU